CUGAACCAGCCAAGUAGCGUGAAGGAUGACUGCCCUAUGGGUUGUAAACUUCUUUUAUAAAGGAAUAAAGUCGGGUAUGUAUACCCGUUUGCAUGUACUUUAUGAAUAAGGAUCGGCUAACUCCGUGCCAGCAGCCGCGGUAAUACGGAGGAUGCGAGCGUUAUCCGGAUUUAUUGGGUUUAAAGGGAGCGCAGACGGGUCGUUAAGUCAGUUGUGAAAGUUUGCGG
Molecule: ribosomal RNA, 227 nt
Filed under: uncultured bacterium
Lineage: Bacteria
Description: partial 16S ribosomal RNA
Rfam family: Bacterial small subunit ribosomal RNA
Source: RNAcentral